RNAcentral lists this ribosomal RNA (252 nucleotides) under uncultured bacterium. RNAcentral's name for it is "partial 16S ribosomal RNA". It matches the Rfam family "Bacterial small subunit ribosomal RNA", at positions 524 to 776 of the family's 1533-position model. The record is from RNAcentral.
UACAGAGGUCUCAAGCGUUGUUCGGAUUCAUUGGGCGUAAAGGGUGCGUAGGCGGCGCGGUAAGUCGGGUGUGAAAUCUCGGGCUUAACUUGGGAAUUGCGCUCGAAACUACGUGGCUGGAGUGUGGCAGAGGAAGGUGGAAUUCCAGGUGUAGCGGUGAAAUGCGUAGAGAUCUGGAGGAACACCGAUGGCGAAGGCAGCCUUCUGGGCCAACACUGACGCUCAUGCACGAAAGCGUGGGGAGCAAACAGG